AGAGUUUGAUCCUGGCUCAGGAUGAACGCUAGCGACAGGCUUAACACAUGCAAGUCGAGGGGCAGCGGGGGUGAUGGCUUGCCAUCACCUGCCGGCGACCGGCGCACGGGUGAGUAACACGUAUGCAACCUGCCCGCCACAGGGGGAUAAGCGGAAGAAAUUCCGUCUAAUACCGCGUGACGCGGCGUCGGGGCAUCCCGGUGCCGCCAAAGGGAUUACCGGUGGCGGAUGGGCAUGCGGCGCAUUAGCUAGUCGGCGGGGUAACGGCCCACCGAGGCGACGAUGCGUAGGGGUUCUGAGAGGAAGGUCCCCCACACUGGUACUGAGACACGGACCAGACUCCUACGGGAGGCAGCAGUGAGGAAUAUUGGUCAAUGGGCGGGAGCCUGAACCAGCCAAGUCGCGUGAGGGAUGACGGUCCUACGGAUUGUAAACCUCUUUUGCCGGGGAGCAAGCGUGCGUUCGUGAACGCGCGUCGAGAGUACCCGGAGAAAAAGCAUCGGCUAACUCCGUGCCAGCAGCCGCGGUAAUACGGAGGAUGCGAGCGUUAUCCGGAUUUAUUGGGUUUAAAGGGUGCGUAGGCGGGAUGCCAAGUCAGCGGUAAAAAUGCGGUGCUCAACGCCGUCGAGCCGUUGAAACUGGCGUUCUUGAGUGGGCGAGAAGUAUGCGGAAUGCGUGGUGUAGCGGUGAAAUGCAUAGAUAUCACGCAGAACUCCGAUUGCGAAGGCAGCAUACCGGCGCCCUACUGACGCUGAGGCACGAAAGCGUGGGUAUCGAACAGGAUUAGAUACCCUGGUAGUCCACGCAGUAAACGAUGAAUGCUAACUGUCCGGUGCGAGUGAGCGCUGGGCGGUACAGCGAAAGCGUUAAGCAUUCCACCUGGGGAGUACGCCGGCAACGGUGAAACUCAAAGGAAUUGACGGGGGCCCGCACAAGCGGAGGAACAUGUGGUUUAAUUCGAUGAUACGCGAGGAACCUUACCCGGGCUCAAACGCAGGAUGACGGGUCCCGAAAGGGGCCUUUCUUCGGACAUUCUGCGAGGUGCUGCAUGGUUGUCGUCAGCUCGUGCCGUGAGGUGUCGGCUUAAGUGCCAUAACGAGCGCAACCCCUGUCCACAGUUGCCAGCAGGUAAAGCUGGGGACUCUGUGGAGACUGCCGGCGCAAGCUGCGAGGAAGGCGGGGAUGACGUCAAAUCAGCACGGCCCUUACGUCCGGGGCGACACACGUGUUACAAUGGCAGGUACAGCGGGAUGCCACGGGGCGACCCGGCGCUGAACCCGAAAACCUGUCUCAGUUCGGAUUGGAGUCUGCAACCCGACUCCAUGAAGCUGGAUUCGCUAGUAAUCGCGCAUCAGCCACGGCGCGGUGAAUACGUUCCCGGGCCUUGCACUCGCCGCCCGUCAAG
This 1405-nucleotide ribosomal RNA is filed under the name uncultured bacterium. RNAcentral's name for it is "bacterial SSU rRNA". It matches the Rfam family "Bacterial small subunit ribosomal RNA". The record is from RNAcentral.